GAAGCCUUCUCACCCUGCCUGGCCCUGACCAGGGACGUCACCCCUAAGUCUCCCCACGAGUGCUCAUGGAGCCUCUGCUUGAAGACCUCCGGGGAGGAGGAGCGGCCCCUUCCACUCUGGAAGAGGCCUCCCUGUUGGGAAGUCCUUUGGCCCACCAAGCCGAAAUCUUCCCCCUUGCCACUCCUGGCUCUGCCUUCCGGGCCCACAAAGAACGAGGCUAAGUCUCCUCCUCCUCCUCCUCCUCCUCUUCUUCCGCUGCUUCUUCCUCUUCUUUCUCUUCCUCUUCUUCCUCUUCUUCUGCUGCUUCUUCCUCUUUCUCUUCUUCCUCUUCUUCUUCCUCUUCUUCUUCUUCUUCCUCUUCUUCUGCUGCUUCUUCCUCUUCUUCUUCCUCUUCUUCUGCUGCUUCUUCCUCUUCUUCUUCCUCUUCUUCCUCUUCCUCUUCCUCUUCCUCCCCCUCCUCCUCCUCCACGUGGUCCAUANUGUGUGUAUCUGUGUGUGCGUGUGUCUGUGAGUCUGUGUGUGUGUCCGUGUUGUGUCUGUGUGUGCAUGUGUAUACAUGCAUGUCUGCCCAUGUGUGUCCGUGUGUCUGUCUGUGUAUGUCCAUGUGUGAGUCUGUGUGUCCAUGUGUGUGUAUGUCUGUGCAUGUGUGCGUGUCUGGGUGUAUGCGUGUGUGUCUGUCCGUGUGUGCGUGUGUGCGUGUGUGCGUGUGUGUGCGUGUAUCCUCUUUUCUCUGACGUGUCCCGUGGGUGUGAAGGCGCGUGACUGGGAGCCCCGAGUCAUCCGAGAGGAGGACGCAGUCUGUGGCUACCGUUUGAGCUUGCCUUUCCCAUUCCUUCCCGCAGUCCGUUGUAAAUAGAAUUGCGGAGCUGGGCAGCCACGAGCCCCCUCCCACUCCCGACUCCGCCUCUCCGCACUCCAGGCAGCAUGCGUGAGGGGGUGCCACGAGCACUCAGUGGCCCUCCCUGCCUCCUCACGGGCCCUCUGGACCGGGGAAGAGCUGAGGGACUCGUAGCCAGGCAGGGAGACCUUAGCUCUUCCCUUCGUCUUCCAGCCUCCAGGCUGACGGGGACCCUCUUCGAGAGGGGCUGUGAGUGGGGCUCUCCAGGCUCCCUGGCGGGAGUGGGGUGCAGUAGUGAGAGGGGAAGCGGGCAGGAUGAGAGCCGGGGGCUGGGCCAGACCCCCCCCUGAUGCCAAGAUGGGAGGUGCAGGGCUCUCCAGUCUGCCCACACGCAGCUGCCCCGUGGCCCUUCCUUGGACCCUGGGGGUACAGAACUGCUGUCCACGGCCCUGCUCAUGAGCCUCCCCACUUCCUGUAAGGCCAAGGCACGGCCCUGGGUCAGCCGCCUUUCAUGAUGUCAGGCCGCCACCAGCAGCUGAGCCUAUGGCAGACACGGGGGCCUGGGCAGCCUCCCUCUUGCUCCCCGGAGGACGGGCUCCCCUGGCCCGGCUCUCGGUCCCCUCGGCCACUACUGACAGGAAUGACCCAAGACCCUGGGAUGGACGCAGAAGCAGAGCUGGUGCCCAGCCCUGUGGACCCUCUCCAGUGACAGAGCUGCCUUUCAGGGGGCCCAUUCAGAGAACAGAACAACUGAGGCCACGGCGACCCCCUCUCAGGCCUCCCGAGUGCCCGGGUGAGGAGCUCCGGCUGAGAAUUCAGCAGACAAAACUCCGGGUGUCCGGCCAGGUCCUCCAGCGAAGGCUGCUGGUGCCAGUGUGGUGGCCACGAUUCUGUGGCUCUGUUUAAGGCACGCAUGGCUUAUUG
Monodelphis domestica (gray short-tailed opossum) is the source of this 1762-nucleotide long non-coding RNA. NCBI's taxonomy places the organism in Eukaryota, Metazoa, Chordata, Mammalia, Didelphimorphia, Didelphidae. The record is from Ensembl.